RNAcentral lists this long non-coding RNA (4196 nucleotides) under Panax ginseng (ginseng). Its description in RNAcentral is "long non-coding RNA (PGIN_LNC017514)". Lineage: Eukaryota; Viridiplantae; Streptophyta; Magnoliopsida; Apiales; Araliaceae. The record is from RNAcentral.
AAUGACUAAAAGAAAUUAAAAAGAAGGUUGUAGUUGGGUUAGGAGGAGGUGGCAUUAUAAGCUUAUUAACCUUCCACUAAGCAAGCUCAAGCAUGUGCUGGAGAAAAGCUAAGUUAGCUAAGUAUGAUAAAUAAUUGAUGACGUCUGAUAUGAGAGGAAGGUUCAGAGAACUUUUAUGAAUUUAUUCUUAGCCUCUUCUCUAUUACCCCCAUCCGUUCCAUUCUUCAUUUCCUCUUUACUUACGAAACUCCAAAGAACACAAAAGUUGUCAAAAUCUUUAGACCUCAACGAAUUUGGCAACGAACUGAAGCUGGUACAUGAAAUUGGAGAAGAUUUGAGGCAAGACCAACUUAAAGAAGGAAGUAUAUUCAAUCAAUUUCAUGCUUGAAUCACGAAUUUGGUGGUUUCAUUAAGCAAGUAAGGUAAAGAUACUCAUUUAUAUUAUAUGUAAAAAAAAUGAAAGAAUAUGUGUGAAUAUCGAUGAGAAUAUUCUGUUUGGGUUGUGAAUUGAUAAAAGGGGAUGUUGUGUACUUUGUGCGGAGUGAUAAGGCUGAAAAUUUUGGGCUAGACUCCAUCCAAAUAGCUAUGAACUCUGUUUCUUAAAGUGGCUUAAAGUGGUGCACUAAGCGUGUUUGAUAAAAUGCCUCUUAGAUGUUGUCAAGCUUUAAAAGUGAAAAUUUGUUAAUGUUAUGAACAAGAUAACUUAUGUAUAUCAAAUUUGAUGUUACCUAGGUGGUUUAGCUGAGUUAAAAAGGGCUUAGAAGCAAGUUUAUAAAAGUUUAACAAUUUUGCUUUAAUAGGAAAUCUGAUGCAUCUGGGCAGUUUCAUGUCUUGCAAGUGAAGCUUAGAAUGUUUUUUUUUAACUAUGUUAUAUUUUUAUAAAAUAGUAUGUAGUACCAUAAAGAACAUAUUUCAAUUUGAAAGCAAUUGGAUGAAAGGGUUGCAAGAUAUAAAAUUUUGAAAUGGCCUAGUUGGAUUGCUGCAGCAGCGGCAGCAGUAACUGGGCACGCACACUGGCUACUGGAUGUCAGUUGCGUUGCCUUAUGUCAUGCAGAUUGUGCAAAUUUAAUGACAUUAAAUUGUACUGUAUUGUGUUUCGUGGUCUAUUUGGUGAAACGAAAUAGGAUGUAUAUUGAUGGCAUAUAAGAUUCAGUUCUAGAAUUUACUUCUUAAUGCUUUGUAUGGGAUAUUCCUUCUCUGUUAAGGUAAUGUAUCCUUUAUCUAAGAUAGGGGCAUUAUAAUGAUUUAUGAAACCUUUUAAACGAGAAAUAUGACUUUAAACCCAUUAUGACUAUUCAUAUAUCUUAUGUUCCUCAUAAGGAAAUUGGUGGGUUGAUGGGAUGAUGAAGUUUGUGUGUAAUGCAUCCGGGCCAAACCUUAACAUAAUGAAUAUAUAUUAAGGUUGGUAUACUGUAAUAUAUAUAUAUUAGGUUACUACAAUGUGGUGUUAUUAUUAAUUAUAUUUCUAAACUCAAAUCUGAUACCUAAUAUUUUAAUGGUAUCGAAUAUUAUAAUGGUAUCAUAAUAUGAGUUAUAACAUGAGUCAAAUCAAACAUGAAGUGUUAAGCAUCAAUGUUACACUUGAUAAUGCUUUAUGGCAGUGCUAAAGGAAAGCAUUUUAUCACAAAUUUUGAUUAAUUCGUAUUUGUAGUGUUAGAGUAACUUACGAUCUUUAUAUAUCCAUCAUAGUUUAUUACGAUGGUAUAUGAAUUAAUGGGUAUCAAGCAAUCCGUAAGUGAUUCAACAAUUAUAGUGAUCAUGUGAUUAUACUAAUAAAGACAUUAUGAAUGAUAUGGAUAUUCAUAGCAACAACAGAUAUAGUUGAUACGAGUUUAAUUGUAGUUCGUGGAUAAAGUAUACAUUAAGCUGUGUACCUUAUGUAUGUUAUAUAGGUGCUAUAUGAAGUCAUAACGCUUCAAGUUCACGAGAGCGAUUAGAACCGGUAGCAUUUUCACAGAAAAGGCAAGUUUUUCAGUUCAAUUAUGUUUGUGGAUUAAAUGUGAUUAUGUGGUGAGUUACAUACCAUGCUUUAUGAAUUGUUAAAGUCAAAAUAUGACUAACUUAAUUGGGUUAUGGAACUCAAUUUAUAUGUGAUAUGUGAUAGCACAUGAUGUAUGAUGUAACUUGAUAAUUUAGAAAUGUAUAAUGCAUAAAUGUAUGUGUUGUAAGGAAUUAUUGAUGCAUGUAGGAUAUUCAUAGUAAAGAAUGUAUGUUGCAUGCGGAUAUGCAUACUAAAGGAAAUAUAGUGCAUAUGGAAUUGUGUGCUAUGUGAAACAUGAUAGACUGUUAAAUUUGCUGGGCUGUUGAGCUCAAUCUUGCAAACACAAACUUUUUGCAGGUUAAUGAUGUUAAGCAAUAUUACAUGCUAUACGGAUGAUGAAGCUUGAACAAUAUGCAAAAUGAAUACAUUUCUUUGAAUUAGAAAUGGUAUAAAUUUAUGAUUGAUAGUUUUGAUAAAUGUAAUUGGCAGUUAUGUAUAGUUUAAAAUGUUGAAUGGAUAAAUAAUAUUUAUUCUGAAAUGAGAAUAAAUAUGAUUUUAGUAUAAAGAAGAAUUGUAAAGGUUGCGAUUCAGGGAAUAAACGAAUGGAAAUAAAGAAGAAGAAAAAAUUUAUUCUGCAUUUUUAGCUAUUUUAACAUUAAAUAAUGUUUUAAAGCUAUAACAAGAUAGUAUAAACGCACAAGAUUGGGAAGGAAAAUAGUCCCGAUUUUGGGGUUGUUACAGGGUGCUUAUGUUAGAAUUGAAAAUCACACCAGAAACUGAAGUUUUCUCUCUAUAUUAUCGAGCCUAUUUUUGUGAGUAUUUAGAUAUCUUGAGUGUCGCUAUACGGUGCAAGUUUCCUUCAGCGUUAUAUCUGAUAUUCCAGCCAUAAGUACUAUUUUUUUAAGGUAAGGGAUGUUAUUUUUUUAUAAAUGAUAUUAUUUCUUUCAAUUAUACCGGAAUAUUGGUAAGAUUUUUCUUGUGAAAUUCUUAUCUUUUCAUGUCAGGGUUACUAUUCACGAGUUACUAUUCACGAAGCAUGAUGAUUUUCUUGUGAAAUUUCUACCUUUUAGUGUCGGAGUUACUAUUCACGUAUACGACACUAUUCACAAAUACGACACUAUUCACAUAAAAAUUAAAUUUUUUUUUCUGUGUCCAAGACAUCUAUUAUGGAUACUAGCUUUGAUUGUAUCCAUGUUUUGAUUUUCAUUCUUGAAUUUUACUCCACUAUGGUUAUUUAUGAAGUAUUUUUGAACUUGGAUUGUUUGAAGUACGAAUCUUUAAUAUUUGUUCUUUUGUUUCACUUGAUUCGUUUCUUUAAAAAUAUUUUUCAUCAUCCUCAGUCCUAAAUGAUGAUAUUACUGAAUAUCUUUGGCCUGUAGUGCAAAGAUGAAUGAUUUCUUGAUGAAUAUCUUUGGCCCGUAGUGCAAAGAUGAACAGGUGUUGAGAUGAACAUGAUCGACUGAUUAAUAUCUUUGGCCUGUAGUGCAAAGAUGACUAUUUGAUUCAAGAUGUAUAUUGAUUGAUGUUACUGGGAUAAAAUAUCGAUUAUGGACUUUUAAAUCCAUAGAUGAUAGUAGAUUUCAUUCUCUACUUAACUCUUCUAAUGAAUUAUUGUUUCCGCUGCAGUUGUUGAUCUAAAACUUGUUGUCUAUUGUAUUCUAUCAAAUUUUUUCCUGUUGAAGACUAAGGAUAAUUUGUUGUACAUUAUCUUAGUCAUAAUAUUCUUUACUGGGCUAGUUGAGCUCACCAUUUUUCUUUUUGUUCUAUUUUUCUUCUCAGGAAGCGAGAAUAUAGCGGGGAGUAGUCAGGGUAUGGAGUGAUGUUCCAAGGCAGUGGUUAUAGUAGUCCUCACUAUUCUGUAAAAUAGUGUAUUAAUAAUUGUAAUGAGGACUCAUUUGAGUGUUAAUAUUUUCUAGAAGACAAUAUUUGUAUUUAAACUCACAGCAUAAGUGUUGUCGUAUUUUGCAUGACAAUUGUAAUAAUGAAGUUGUAGUUGUUUCUGUACCAUGUAUUUGGCGACUCAGAAUAGGUAGGGUGGAUUGGACCUAUUUUGGGGGCGUCACAUCUGGUGUAUACUUCUGGUGUAUUACAACAUUUAUUUCAACUAUUCUCAUUUUAGUAUAAUAUAACCCAAAAGAGAAAAUAUACAGUUUUUCUAAUAUGAGCUUCUGGCCCGAUACUAUUGAAGUAAUAUAAAGAAAUUUUUCACUGCCUU